AGUCCGGGCACCACAGGGCUGGUUGCUGGGUAAUGCCCAGUGCGCGUGAGCGUGAGGAUAGUGCCACAGAAAUGUAGACCGCCAGAAUUUUCUGGUAAGGGUGCAACGGUGCGGUAAGAGCGUCACCAGCAAAGUCGUGAGGCUUUGGCUUGGUAAACCCCGCUGAAGGUGCAAGGCAAAGGUAUAGCUUGAGGUGAAGGUGGCCCGCUACCUCAGGUUGCCGAAGCCGCUAGAGGGCUAAGGUAACUUAGCUCCCAGAGAGAUGACAGUCUCAAACAGAACCCGGCUUAUGCGUUACUUUUUCGU
RNAcentral lists this RNase P RNA (306 nucleotides) under Candidatus Melainabacteria bacterium. RNAcentral describes it as "partial RNase P RNA component class A". It matches the Rfam family "Bacterial RNase P class A", at positions 49 to 367 of the family's 367-position model. From Rfam's summary of the family: Ribonuclease P (RNase P) is a ubiquitous endoribonuclease, found in archaea, bacteria and eukarya as well as chloroplasts and mitochondria. Its best characterised activity is the generation of mature 5'-ends of tRNAs by cleaving the 5'-leader elements of precursor-tRNAs. Lineage: Bacteria; Bacillati; Candidatus Melainabacteria. The record is from RNAcentral.